This 2143-nucleotide ribosomal RNA is filed under the name marine metagenome. RNAcentral describes it as "eukaryotic LSU rRNA". It matches the Rfam family "Eukaryotic large subunit ribosomal RNA", at positions 871 to 3003 of the family's 3401-position model. The record is from RNAcentral.
AAGGUCUUAGCGGUUCUGACGUGCAAAUCGAUCGUCAGAAAUGGGCAUAGGUGCGAACGACUAAUCGGACCAUCUAGUAGCUGGUUCCACUUGAAGUUUCCCUUAGGAUAGCUGCUCCUAAUUAUAAGAGUUUAAUCCGGUAAAGCGAAUGAUUAGACGGAUUAGAGACAUAAUGUUUUUAACUUAUUCUCAAACUUUAAAUGGGUUAGAUGUCUAUGUUGCUAACUUGAACAUAGCACGCAAGAAUCAUUUGAUCAAGUGGGCCAUUUUUGGUAAGCAGAACUGGCGCUGUGGGAUGAACCAAAAGCUAGUUUAAAGUAUCAAAGUAAUAGCAAAUCAGAUUCCACGAAAGGUGUUAAUUGCUCACGACAGCAGGACGGUGGCCAUGGAAGUCGGAAUCCGCUAAGGAAUGUGUAACAACCCACCUGCCGAAGCAAUUAGCCCUGAAAAUGGAUGACGCUAUAGCUAUUCCAGAACUUAAAACUAGCUUCUAGGCUAAAUUAUCUAGCCUAUAAAGUAAAGUGGUGAUUUAACCGCAGCCAAAGAAAGAUGAGAAUCUUUCACAAGCGGUUAAGUGUACAGAUCUUGGUGGCAGUAGCAAAUAUUCCAAUGGGGUCUUGGAAGGCCGAAGUGGAGAAGGUUUUCGUGUGAACAGUUUUUGACCACGAGUGAGGCGGUCCUAAAUAAGAAAGGAAACUUAUUACAAUUUUAUGAAAGGGAAAUAGGUUUAAAUUCCUAUUCCAUAAGCGCUAGAAUUUACUCUGUAAACCUGGUAACAGGGAUUUUCAUUCGGACACAAAGCUAAACUUUAAAGAGAAUUUUCUCUUCUGAUUAAGCUAUGUAAUCCUUUAAAUAGCAUUGAGCUGAGACAAGGAUCAGCAAUAGCGCAGAGCAACACAGAUCUUGCGUUGUUUAAAGCUUUAGCCUUGUCCUUGAAAACGAAUGAAAAAUGGUUAUCUAGCCUAUGGCCGUACCCAUAUCCGCAGCAGGUCUCCAAGGUGAAAAACCUCUGGCUAAUAGAAUAAUGUAGGUAAGGGAAGUCGGCAAAUAAGCUCUGUAACUUUGGGAGAAGGAAUGGCUCUGAAAGUUGAAGUAUUUGGGCUUAAUAAUGGAAGCCGCUAUAGCAAAAGUUUGUUGAAAGCAUUCGCCUGAAAUGAACCAAGCUCUGGCUGUGAAAAUUAUUUAGCUUUAUGGUUGGAUUAUAUCUAGCCAUUCAAAUCACUGCUUAUCAACUCAUUCAGAACUGGCACAGAUUAGGGGAACCCGACUGUUUAAUUAAAACAAAGCAUUGAGAAAGUCUGAAAAGAUAUUGACUCAAUGUGAUUUCUGCCCAGUGCUCAGAAUGUCAAUUUGAAGAGGUUCAAAUAAGCGCGGGUAAACGGCGGGAGUAACUAUGACUCUCUUAAGGUAGCCAAAUGCCUCGUCAGAUAACUACUGACGCGCAUGAAGGGAUUAACGAGGUUCCUACUGUCCCUAUCUACUAUCUAGCGAAACCGCAGUCAAGGGAACGGACUUGAAAAUAACAGCGGGGAAAGAAGACCCUGUUGAGCUUGACUCUAAUCUCGUAUUGUAGAGAAACAUGUUUGGUGUAGUUUAGGGAGGAGCUUCGGCGCCAAUGAAAAACUCCCACAAAUAUCGUUUCUCUUCUAACUAGAUCAAACGCAUAAUUAAUAGCUUUAAUCGGCUAAUUAGUGUUGUAACAACUGUGCUGUUCAUUGAAACAGUGCAGAAAGCAACCAAGGAAAUUGCGAGAUUGGGAGUUUGACUGGGGCGGUACAUCUGUCAAAUAAUAACGCAGGUGUCCUAAGAUCAGCUCCGUGAGGACAGAAACCUCACUUAGAGUAAAAAGGCAAAAGCUGGUUUGAAAUUGCUUUUCAGUACAAAGCAAUAGGCAGAAAUGUAGGCUUAUCGAUCCUCUUUAAUUUAGGGUUUAAAGAAAGAGGUGACAGAAAAGUUACCACAGGGAUAACUGGCUUGUGGCUGCCAAGCGUUCAUAGCGACGUAGCUUUUUGAUCCUUCGAUGUCGGCUCUUCCUAUCAUUCUGAAGCAAAAUUCAGAUAGUGUCGGAUUGUUCACCCGCUAAUAGGGAACGUGAGCUGGGUUUAGACCGUCGUGAGACAGGUUAGUUUUACCCUACUGAUGA